RNAcentral lists this ribosomal RNA (199 nucleotides) under uncultured bacterium. RNAcentral describes it as "partial 16S ribosomal RNA". It matches the Rfam family "Bacterial small subunit ribosomal RNA", at positions 326 to 539 of the family's 1533-position model. The record is from RNAcentral.
ACGCUCGACACCUACGAGGCAGCAGUGGGGAAUAUUGGGCAAUGGGCGCAAGCCUGACCCAGCAACGCCGCGUGAAGGAAGAAGGCCCUCGGGUUGUAAACUUCUUUUGACAGGGACGAAACAAAUGACGGUACCUGUCGAAUAAGCCACGGCUAACUACGUGUCAGCAGCCGCGGUAAUCUGAGCGGGCUGGCAAGGC